Molecule: transfer RNA, 74 nt
Filed under: Elusimicrobiota bacterium
Lineage: Bacteria; Pseudomonadati; Elusimicrobiota
Description: Elusimicrobia bacterium (groundwater metagenome) tRNA-Arg
Rfam family: tRNA
About the family: Transfer RNA (tRNA) molecules are approximately 80 nucleotides in length. Their secondary structure includes four short double-helical elements and three loops (D, anti-codon, and T loops).
Source: RNAcentral
GCGCCUGUAGCUCAACUGGAUAGAGCGUCUGGCUACGGACCAGAAGGCUGCGCGUUCAAAUCGCGCCGGGCGCA